Molecule: long non-coding RNA, 365 nt
Organism: Labrus mixtus (cuckoo wrasse)
Lineage: Eukaryota; Metazoa; Chordata; Actinopteri; Labriformes; Labridae
Exons: 2
Source: RefSeq, a predicted model, not a curated record
UGUCGUAAUCCUUCUGUAUGCCAGUUGUUGUACGUGCUCAGGGAAACACUUCAGAGGGUUAAUGUUGACAAGUCUUGAAUAAAGGUCAGACCUCCACUAGAACUGUUUGGUUGUGUGGUCUGUUUUUAGUUCAGAUCUAUCACACACACACACACACACACACACGUCUCACCUAAACACGCCGCGGCCCCCACCAUGGCGUAGAGCCCGGGAGUGAUGCAGUCUUGUCCCGGUGAGCACCACCCUUUGAAGAUGAACGAGUCGUGGUUGUAGUAGGCCAGCUGCUCCAUGCCGACGCCGAGCAGCCUGCCAGCGAUCGCUCCGACAGCCAUGCUGGGGAUGAAGAGACCCGAGGGAACCUGGAG